This 392-nucleotide ribosomal RNA is filed under the name uncultured bacterium. Its description in RNAcentral is "bacterial SSU rRNA". It matches the Rfam family "Bacterial small subunit ribosomal RNA", at positions 29 to 411 of the family's 1533-position model. The record is from RNAcentral.
AACGAACGCUGGCGGCGCGCCUAAUACAUGCAAGUCGAGCGAGAAGACGUAGCAAUACGUUUGUAAAGCGGCGAACGGGUGAGGAAUACAUGGGUAACCUACCCUCGAGUGGGGAAUAACUAGCCGAAAGGUUAGCUAAUACCGCGUACGCUCCUUGGACUUCGGUUCAGGGAGGAAAGCGAUACCGUGGGUAUCGCGCUCUUGGAUGGGCUCAUGUCCUAUCAGCUUGUUGGUGAGGUAACGGCUCACCAAGGCUUCGACGGGUAGCUGGUCUGAGAGGACGAUCAGCCACACUGGCACUGCGACACGGGCCAGACUCCUACGGGAGGCAGCAGUAAGGAAUAUUGCGCAAUGGGCGAAAGCCUGACGCAGCGACGCCGCGGUGGGGGAGU